GGACAAUGGCAGCCUGCAAAGAGUCCUCCCUUCUCAGACCUUGCCCUGGGCACCUCUCCCAGGUGGCUGUUCCUGAGUUGUGUCUUUCGUAAUGAGCCAGCAAUCUACGUUUUCUAACAUCUGGCGCCCAACGUGGGGCUCGAGGUGAGGGCCCCCGGCACUCGCUGUAGAGGUCCCCUCGAGCUCCACCGCCGCGGUAGCCCCAGACCCAGGCGGCUGACCAACCCCCCGGACGGCAGGAUACAGGAUCUCCCAGCAGGUGGCUACGGCUCUGGGCAUCGAUUGGCAUCUCCACAUCCCCUAUCGGCCCCAAUCGUCAGGCAAAGUAGAACGGGUGAACGGCAUCAUCAAGACGCACCUGACCAAGCUUGCCUCAGAACUGCGGCUGUCUUGGGUCGACCUCCUUCCUCUGGCGCUCACUCGCAUUCGCACCACACCACACUCCAAAACAGGUUUGACCCCUUUUGAACUGCUCUACGGCAGGCCCUAUCUCCUGACUCACCUCCCAGAGGGAGAGGCUCCCCCACUCGCGGGGUACCUCUCCCUCUUCU
This is a long non-coding RNA of Cervus elaphus (red deer), 551 nucleotides long. RefSeq lists it as uncharacterized. The transcript is spliced from 3 exons. The record is from RefSeq and is a predicted model, not a curated record. Lineage: Eukaryota; Metazoa; Chordata; Mammalia; Artiodactyla; Cervidae.